Myotis davidii is the source of this 407-nucleotide long non-coding RNA. RefSeq lists it as uncharacterized. The transcript is spliced from 4 exons. The record is from RefSeq and is a predicted model, not a curated record. NCBI's taxonomy places the organism in Eukaryota, Metazoa, Chordata, Mammalia, Chiroptera, Vespertilionidae.
AAAUAAUUAAACUUCCUUAUGGAAAACAGAAAUGAGCUCUCGACUGGGAAUUUCAGGUAACACUGAGAAGUGCAUGACUUCUUGGUGGAAAAAAAAACCCAGAAAACCACAGGCUAUGGAUUCAAGUAGGUUUUUUCUCUUGUAACCUCAUGAUAAGACUAGCAUGACUUGGCUUGGUAAAUAAUAAGCAUUUACUAAAGUGAUGAUUUUAGUUUUUGUCAAUGUCUUCUCUCACCAAAGAGAUAUUUUCUUGAAACCUACAGUUUUUAAGACCUUUGCUGUUUAUUUAACAACAUUCUAAAUUAGCUUUAUGUCAAUAGAGUUGCAUCUCAUUCAUGGACUGGGGUCUAAAAAAAAUGAGAAAUUUGCAUAGAUCAGGUUAUCCUUAAUUUAUCCAUAAUGGAUGG